RNAcentral lists this ribosomal RNA (1547 nucleotides) under groundwater metagenome. RNAcentral's name for it is "bacterial SSU rRNA". It matches the Rfam family "Bacterial small subunit ribosomal RNA". The record is from RNAcentral.
AGAGUUUGAUCUUGGCUCAGGAUGAACGCUGGCGGCGUGGAUAAGGCAUGCAAGUCGAACGCCGAGCACUCAAUUCGUUGAGUGCUCGGCGUGGCGAACGGGUUAAUAAUACGUAGAUACAUACCGUUAACACAAGUAUAACCUAUUGAAAGAUAGGCUAAUCCUUGAUAGCCCGGGUACUCAGUUUGAUGAGCGCUCGGUAAAGGUUUUGAAUAAUCAAUUCCGGUUGACGAUUGGUCUGCGGUCUAUCAGCUUGUUGGUGAGGUAAUGGCUCACCAAGGCAAUGACGGAUAGGCGGUGUGAGAGCAUGACCGCCAACAGGGGCAUUGCGAUACGGGCCCCACUCCUACGGGAGGCAGCAGCCGAGAAUAUUGGUCAAUGGGCGAAAGCCUGAACCAGCGACGCCGCGUGCUUGAAGAAACCCUUCGGGGUGUAAAGAGCUUUUCUGGAGGAAGAAUAUUUAUAUGACUGUACUCCAGGAAUAAGGGGGUGCUAACUCUGUGCCAGCAGCAGCGGUAAUACAGAGCCCCCAAGCGUUAUCCGGAUUUAUUGGGCGUAAAGAGUCUGUAGGUGGCCAGGAAAGUCUUUGGUUAAAUACCCAGAGCUUAACUUUGGGAAUGCCUAAGAUACUUCUUGGAUAGAGGACGUUAGGGGCUGGCGGAAUGGUCGGUGUAGGGGUGAAAUCCGUUGAUAUCGAUUGGAACCCUAAAAGCGAAGGCAGCCAGCUGGGGCGAUCCUGACACUGAGAGACGAAAGCGUGGGGAGCAAAAAAGAUUAGAUACCUUUGUAGUCCACGCCGUAAACGAUGGACACUAGCUAUUUGAAGUGUCGACCCUUCAAGUGGCGAAGCUAACGCGUUAAGUGUCCCGCCUGGGAAGUACGGCCGCAAGGCUAAAACUUAAAAGAAUAGACGGGGAUUCACACAAGCGGUGGACCAUGUGGCUUAAUUCGACGAUAAGCGAGGAACCUUACCAGGGCUUGACACCCUGAUGAAAUCCUAAUGAAAGUUAGGACUACCCACAAGGACAUCAGGGCAGGUGUUGCACGGUCGUCGUCAGCAUGUAUCUUGAGACGCACCCUUAAAUGGGGUAACAUGCGCAACCCCUAUUGCUUGUUUUAUUUGUCAAGCAAAACCGCCCCCUCCUAACUUUUUGAAAAAAUAUAUCCAAACAAUUUUUAGUUAUUAUAAAAAAGAAGAAUAAUUCAAAAAGUUAGGAGGGGGAGGAAGGUGGGGAUGACGCCAGAUCAGCGUGACCCUUUGAUGCCCUGGGCUGCACACGUGGUACAAUGGCUGCUACAAUGGGUUGCUAAGGCGCAAGCCGGAGCUAAUCCCAUCAAAAGCAGUCUCAGUUCGGAUUGAGGUCUGCAACUCGACCUCAUGAAGCCGGAAUCGCUAGUAAUCGCAUAUCAGCCAUGGUGCGAUGAAUAUGUUUCUGAAUCUUGUACUCACCGCCCGUCACACUAGGGAAGCCGGCAGUAGCCGAAAACCCGCCCUCUAUGCUGUAUGGCAAAGUUAAUAAAAAAACAACAGUCUUCCAAACCGAGCA